UACAGAGGGUGCGAGCGUUAAUCGGAAUUACUGGGCGUAAAGAGUGCGUAGGUGGUUUAAUAAGUCAGAUGUGAAAUCCCCGGGCUCAACCUGGGAACUGCAUUUGAAACUGUUAAGCUAGAGUACGGUAGAGGGAAGUGGAAUUUCCGGUGUAGCGGUGAAAUGCGUAGAUAUCGGAAGGAACAUCAGUGGCGAAGGCGACUUCCUGGACCGCAACUGACACUGAGGCACGAAAGCCAGGGGAGCAAACGGG
Molecule: ribosomal RNA, 253 nt
Filed under: uncultured bacterium
Lineage: Bacteria
Description: partial 16S ribosomal RNA
Rfam family: Bacterial small subunit ribosomal RNA
Source: RNAcentral